AUACGUACUGUGCGAACGUUAUUCGGAAUCACUGGGCUUAAAGGGUGCGUAGGCGGCCGUUCAAGUCGGGUGUGAAAUCUCUCGGCUCAACCGAGGAAUUGCGCUCGAAACUAGACGGCUUGAGUGAGAUAGGGGUGUGUGGAACUUCCAGUGGAGCGGUGAAAUGUGUUGAUAUUGGAAGGAACGCCGGUAGCGAAAGCGACACACUGGGUCUUAACUGACGCUGAGGCACGAAAGCCAGGGUAGCGAACGGGAUUAGAAACCCUAGUAGUCC
Molecule: ribosomal RNA, 274 nt
Filed under: uncultured bacterium
Lineage: Bacteria
Description: partial 16S ribosomal RNA
Rfam family: Bacterial small subunit ribosomal RNA
Source: RNAcentral